AACGAACGCUGGCGGCAUGCCUAACACAUGCAAGUCGAACGAGACCUUCGGGUCUAGUGGCGCACGGGUGCGUAACGCGUGGGAACCUGCCCUUAGGUUCGGAAUAACUCCCCGAAAGGGGUGCUAAUACCGGAUAAUGUCUUCGGACCAAAGAUUUAUCGCCUUUGGAUGGGCCCGCGUUGGAUUAGCUAGUUGGUAGGGUAAAAGCCUACCAAGGCGACGAUCCAUAGCUGGUCUGAGAGGAUGCUCAGCCACACUGGGACUGAGACACGGCCCAGACUCCUACGGGAGGCAGCAGUGGGGAAUAUUGGACAAUGGGCGAAAGCCUGAUCCAGCAAUGCCGCGUGAGUGAUGCAGGCCUUAGGGUUGUAAAGCUCUUUUACCCGGGAUGAUAAUGACAGUACCGGGAGAAUAAGCUCCGGCUAACUCCGUG
RNAcentral lists this ribosomal RNA (433 nucleotides) under uncultured bacterium. Its description in RNAcentral is "partial 16S ribosomal RNA". It matches the Rfam family "Bacterial small subunit ribosomal RNA", at positions 29 to 507 of the family's 1533-position model. The record is from RNAcentral.